This 75-nucleotide transfer RNA is filed under the name Candidatus Hydrogenedentes bacterium CG1_02_42_14. RNAcentral's name for it is "tRNA-Arg". It matches the Rfam family "tRNA". Rfam says of the family: Transfer RNA (tRNA) molecules are approximately 80 nucleotides in length. Their secondary structure includes four short double-helical elements and three loops (D, anti-codon, and T loops). The record is from RNAcentral. Lineage: Bacteria; Pseudomonadati; Candidatus Hydrogenedentota.
GCCCCCGUAGCUCAACGGAUAGAGUAGAAGAUUGCGGAUCUUUUGAUAGAGGUUCGAUUCCUCUCGGGGGCACCG